GUGCCUAACACAUGCAAGUCGAACGAGAAAGCGGGGGCAACUCCGCGAGUAAAGUGGCGACCGGGUGAGUAACACGUGACUAACCUACCCUAGAGUGGGGGAUAACCUCGGGAAACCGGGGCUAAUACCGCAUAACAUCGCGAGGGGAAGAUCCUCGCGAUCGAAGGAGCAAUCCGCUCCGGGAGGGGGUCGCGGCUGAUUAGCUAGUUGGUGAGGUAACGGCCCACCAAGGCGAAGAUCAGUAGCCGGCCUGAGAGGGCGCACGGCCACACUGGAACUGAAACACGGUCCAG
This 293-nucleotide ribosomal RNA is filed under the name uncultured bacterium. RNAcentral describes it as "partial 16S ribosomal RNA". It matches the Rfam family "Bacterial small subunit ribosomal RNA", at positions 44 to 334 of the family's 1533-position model. The record is from RNAcentral.